AUGGGCGUGUCAAACAUGUCGUACUUGUACGUUGCACGCAUGUGCCCUUGCGAAGCCAUCAAAUGUCGACUUCCUGUACUCGCGUCGAUCAAUGUCGUCGAGGAAGUUGAGACCGUAGACCAGCAUGCCCCAUACCUUGAUGUGGAGAAGGCUACAUUUUUUAAGGUCAGCGUGAGUACUCUGAGUCGACAAUUAUUCAUCCUUACGCAUCCUCCUCGACCCAAUGGGAGUAUUGCCAUACCCUAUCGCAGAACUCUCUCUCGACGCGAUUCUCUUGUGGCGAAGGGCACAAUGGCCAUUUGGAUCAAUAUCGACUUCUUGUACCCGGUCUUGGCGACAACAUGGAGAGCUCGGCCUUGGCCCGUUAACCGCCUAGCCCUGCAUUAG
RNAcentral lists this ribosomal RNA (387 nucleotides) under Triticum aestivum (bread wheat). RNAcentral describes it as "partial small subunit ribosomal RNA". The record is from RNAcentral. Lineage: Eukaryota; Viridiplantae; Streptophyta; Magnoliopsida; Poales; Poaceae.